RNAcentral lists this ribosomal RNA (469 nucleotides) under uncultured bacterium. RNAcentral describes it as "partial 16S ribosomal RNA". It matches the Rfam family "Bacterial small subunit ribosomal RNA", at positions 28 to 507 of the family's 1533-position model. The record is from RNAcentral.
GACGAACGCUGGCGGCGUGCUUAACACAUGCAAGUCGAACGGAAAGGCCCUGCUUGCAGGGUGCUCGCGUGGCGAACGGGUGAGUAACACGUGGGUGAUCUGCCCCUUACUUUGGGAUAAGCCUGGGAAACUGGGUCUAAUACUGGAUAGGACCAUGCUGUAGGUGGUGUGGUGGAUAGAUUAGUUUCGGUAAGGGAUGAGCUCGCGGCCUAUCAGCUUGUUGGUGGGGUAAUGGCCUACCAAGGCGUCGACGGGUAGCCGGCCUGAGAGGGUGGACGGCCACAUUGAGACUGAGAUACGGGCCAGAAUCCUACGGGAGGCAGCAAUGGGGGAUAUUGCGCAAUAGGAGCAAGCCUGAUGCAGCGACGCCGCGUGGGGGAUGACGGCCUUCGGGUUGUAAACUCCUUUCGGCCAUGACGAAGCCCUUGUGGUGACGGUAGUGGUAGAAGAAGCACCGGCUAACUACGUG